AUCCGGCUGACGAAUCUCAAAUAGGACGGAACGAGCGCCCUGGAU
Molecule: non-coding RNA, 45 nt
Organism: Schistosoma curassoni
Lineage: Eukaryota; Metazoa; Platyhelminthes; Trematoda; Strigeidida; Schistosomatidae
Source: Rfam